Molecule: ribosomal RNA, 615 nt
Filed under: Triticum aestivum (bread wheat)
Lineage: Eukaryota; Viridiplantae; Streptophyta; Magnoliopsida; Poales; Poaceae
Description: partial small subunit ribosomal RNA
Source: RNAcentral
AUGGCUAACGGGAAGCUGCUGGCCGUGUUUGCUCUCUUGCAGGUUCUGGCGCUCCUCUUCCACGUCCAUGACGUCUCCGGGGCCAUCAGUCUCACGCACAAGCAUGCAAAGCGGCCCGGCGGCGGCGGCGGCGGGAAAUGCCACAUCAGCGGCUUCCUCCAAGGCAAGGCCGGCAAGUGCAACCCGGAGCACGGCUCCGACUGCUGCGUCUCCGGCCACAAGUACCCGCAGUUCAAGUGCUCGCCCCCGGUGUCGGCGGAGACGCCGGCAAUCCUGACGUUGAACAGCUUCGCGGCCGGAGCAGACGGGGGAGGCAAGUCCUUCUGCGACAACAAGUUCCACCCAGACAGCGCGCGGGUGGUGGCGUUGUCCUCGGGGUGGCUGCGCCUGGACGGCACGCGUAGGUGCAACAAGAUGAUCCGCAUCAAUGGGAAGGGGCGGUCUGUGCUGGCCAAGGUGGUGGACGAGUGCGACUCAGUGAACGGCUGCGACGAGGAGCACAACUUCGAGCCUCCGUGCCCGAACAAUGCCUUGGACGGGUCGCCGGCGGUGUGGAAGGCGCUGGGGCUCAAGGAGUCGAUUGGAGAGUUCAAGGUCACCUGGUCUGACGUCUGA